UACGUAGGGUGCGAGCGUUAAUCGGAAUUACUGGGCGUAAAGCGUGCGUAGGCGGUUCGCUGUGUCCGAUGUGAAAGCCCCGGGCUUAACCUGGGAAUGGCAUUGGAAACUGGCGGGCUUGAGUGCGGCAGAGGGGGGUGGAAUUCCGCGUGUAGCAGUGAAAUGCGUAGAGAUGCGGAGGAACACCGAUGGCGAAGGCAGCCCCCUGGGUCGACACUGACGCUGAGGCGCGAAAGCGUGGGGAGCAAACAGG
This 253-nucleotide ribosomal RNA is filed under the name uncultured bacterium. RNAcentral's name for it is "partial 16S ribosomal RNA". It matches the Rfam family "Bacterial small subunit ribosomal RNA", at positions 524 to 776 of the family's 1533-position model. The record is from RNAcentral.